Molecule: ribosomal RNA, 390 nt
Filed under: fungal sp.
Lineage: Eukaryota; Fungi
Description: SSU rRNA
Rfam family: Eukaryotic small subunit ribosomal RNA
Source: RNAcentral
CUUUGGUUCUAUUUUGUUGGUUUCUAGGACCGAAGUAAUGAUUAAUAGGGAUAGUUGGGGGCAUUAGUAUUUAAUUGUCAGAGGUGAAAUUCUUGGAUUUAUGAAAGACUAACUUCUGCGAAAGCAUUUGCCAAGGAUGUUUUCAUUAAUCAAGAACGAAAGUUAGGGGAUCCAAAAAGAUCAGAUACCUUUGUAGUCCUAACCGUAAACUAUGCCGACUAGGGAUCAGACGAUGUUACAAUAUUGACGCGUUUGGCACCUUAUGAGAAAUCAAAGUUUUUGGGUUCUGGGGGGAGUAUGGUCGCAAGGCUGAAACUUAAAGGAAUUGACGGAAGGUCACCACCAGGAGUGGAGCCUGCGGCUUAAUUUGACUCAACACGGGGAAACUCA